UACAGAGGGUGCGAGCGUUGUUCGGAAUUACUGGGCGUAAAGGGUCUGUAGGUGGCCAACUAAGUCAGACGUGAAAUCCCUCAGCUUAACUGGGGAACUGCGUCUGAUACUGGAUGGCUUGAGUGCAGGAGAGGAAUGCGGAAUUCCAGGUGUAGCGGUGAAAUGCGUAGAUAUCUGGAGGAACACCGGUGGCGAAGGCGGCAUUCUGGACUGUAACUGACACUGAGAGACGAAAGCCAGGGGAGCAAACGGG
Molecule: ribosomal RNA, 253 nt
Filed under: uncultured bacterium
Lineage: Bacteria
Description: partial 16S ribosomal RNA
Rfam family: Bacterial small subunit ribosomal RNA
Source: RNAcentral